RNAcentral lists this transfer RNA (133 nucleotides) under Candidatus Woesearchaeota archaeon. RNAcentral describes it as "tRNA-Gly". It matches the Rfam family "tRNA". From Rfam's summary of the family: Transfer RNA (tRNA) molecules are approximately 80 nucleotides in length. Their secondary structure includes four short double-helical elements and three loops (D, anti-codon, and T loops). Further hydrogen bonds mediate the characteristic L-shaped molecular structure. tRNAs have two regions of fundamental functional importance: the anti-codon, which is responsible for specific mRNA codon recognition, and the 3' end, to which the tRNAs corresponding amino acid is attached (by aminoacyl-tRNA synthetases). tRNAs cope with the degeneracy of the genetic code in two manners: having more than one tRNA (with a specific anti-codon) for a particular amino acid; and 'wobble' base-pairing, i.e. permitting non-standard base-pairing at the 3rd anti-codon position. The record is from RNAcentral. Lineage: Archaea; Nanobdellati; Candidatus Woesearchaeota.
GCGCUGGUGGUCUAAUGGCUACAACCCUUUGCAAAAGCGUUGAUGGAAAGCAUGCAAUGUGGCAUUUUCAGUUUGCCAUAAAUGACUGCGGCCUUCCAAGCCGCGUGUCCGGGUUCGAAUCCCGGCCGGCGCA